This 66-nucleotide transfer RNA is filed under the name Helicostoa sinensis. RNAcentral describes it as "tRNA-Thr". It matches the Rfam family "tRNA". Rfam says of the family: Transfer RNA (tRNA) molecules are approximately 80 nucleotides in length. Their secondary structure includes four short double-helical elements and three loops (D, anti-codon, and T loops). Further hydrogen bonds mediate the characteristic L-shaped molecular structure. tRNAs have two regions of fundamental functional importance: the anti-codon, which is responsible for specific mRNA codon recognition, and the 3' end, to which the tRNAs corresponding amino acid is attached (by aminoacyl-tRNA synthetases). tRNAs cope with the degeneracy of the genetic code in two manners: having more than one tRNA (with a specific anti-codon) for a particular amino acid; and 'wobble' base-pairing, i.e. permitting non-standard base-pairing at the 3rd anti-codon position. Lineage: Eukaryota; Metazoa; Mollusca; Gastropoda; Littorinimorpha; Helicostoidae. The record is from RNAcentral.
GCAAUAAUAGCUUAAGUUAAAGCUUUGGUCUUGUAAGUCAAGGAUGAAAUUAGAAUUCUUAUUGCU